UGGGGAAUAUUGCACAAUGGGGAGACCCUGAACGAGCAAUGCCGCGUGUGUGAAGAAGGUCUUCGGAUCGUAAAGCACUGUUGUAAGUGAAGAAUGCCAUAUAGAGGAAAUGCUAUGUGGGUGACGGUAGCUUACCAGAAAGCCACGGCUAACUACGUGCCAGCAGCCGCGGUAAUACGUAGGUGGCAAGCGUUAUCCGGAAUCAUUGGGCGUAAAGGGUGCGUAGGUGGCACGAUAAGUCUGAAGUAAAAGGCAACAGCUCAACUGUUGUAUGCUUUGGAAACUGUCGAGCUAGAGUGCAGAAGAGGGCGAUGGAAUUCCAUGUGUAGCGGUAAAAUGCGUAGAUAUAUGGAGGAACACCAGUGGCGAAGGCGGUCGCCUGGUCUGUAACUGACACUGAUGCACGAAAGCGUGGGGAGCAAAUAGGAUUAGAUACC
This 437-nucleotide ribosomal RNA is filed under the name uncultured bacterium. RNAcentral describes it as "bacterial SSU rRNA". It matches the Rfam family "Bacterial small subunit ribosomal RNA", at positions 355 to 786 of the family's 1533-position model. The record is from RNAcentral.